CCUACGGGUGGCAGCAGUGAGGAAUAUUGGUCAAUGGGCGGAAGCCUGAACCAGCCAAGUAGCGUGCAGGAUGACGGCCCUACGGGUUGUAAACUGCUUUUAUACGGGAAUAACGCGCCUUACGUGUACGGCUUUGCAUGUACCGUAUGAAUAAGGACCGGCUAAUUCCGUGCCAGCAGCCGCGGUAAUACGGAAGGUCCGGGCGUUAUCCGGAUUUAUUGGGUUUAAAGGGAGCGUAGGCGGCAUGUCAAGCGUGCUGUGAAAUGUCCGGGCUCAACCCGGGCCUUGCAGUGGAAACUGGCGUGCGUGAGUACGCGGAAGGCAGGCGGAAUUCGUGGUGUAGCGGUGAAAUGCUUAGAUAUGACGAAGAACCCCGAUUGCGAAGGCAGCUUGCUGGAGCGGAACUGACGCUGAUGCUCGAAAGCGCGGGUAUCGAACAGGAUUAGAUACCCGAGUAGUC
RNAcentral lists this ribosomal RNA (460 nucleotides) under uncultured bacterium. RNAcentral describes it as "partial 16S ribosomal RNA". It matches the Rfam family "Bacterial small subunit ribosomal RNA", at positions 338 to 795 of the family's 1533-position model. The record is from RNAcentral.